Molecule: ribosomal RNA, 376 nt
Filed under: uncultured bacterium
Lineage: Bacteria
Description: bacterial SSU rRNA
Rfam family: Bacterial small subunit ribosomal RNA
Source: RNAcentral
UACGGAGGGUGCGAGCGUUGCUCGGAAUCACUGGGCGUAAAGCGUACGCAGGCUGUUUCGUAAGUCGGGUGUGAAAGCCCGGGGCUCAACCCCGGAAUUGCGCCCGAGACUGCGGAGCUUGAAUGCGGGAGAGGGAAGCGGAAUUCCUGGUGUAGAGGUGAAAUUCGUAGAUAUCAGGAGGAACACCGGUGGCGAAAGCGGCUUCCUGGCCCGACAUUGACGCUCAUGUACGAGAGCGUGGGGAGCAAACAGGAUUAGAUACCCUGGUAGUCCACGCUGUAAACGAUGAGUGCUAGCUGCUGGGAAUGUCUACCGUCUCAGUGGCGAAGCUAACGCAUUAAGCACUCCGCCUGGGAAGUACGGCCGCAAGGCUAAA